This 253-nucleotide ribosomal RNA is filed under the name uncultured bacterium. RNAcentral's name for it is "partial 16S ribosomal RNA". It matches the Rfam family "Bacterial small subunit ribosomal RNA", at positions 524 to 776 of the family's 1533-position model. The record is from RNAcentral.
UACAGAGGUCCCAAGCGUUGUUCGGAUUCACUGGGCGUAAAGGGUGUGUAGGUGGCGCCGUAAGUCGGGUGUGAAAUUUCGGAGCUUAACUCCGAAACUGCAUUCGAUACUGCGGUGCUUGAGGACUGGAGAGGAGACUGGAAUUCAUGGUGUAGCAGUGAAAUGCGUAGAGAUCAUGAGGAAGACCAGUGGCGAAGGCGGGUCUCUGGACAGUUCCUGACACUGAGGCGCGAAAGCGUGGGGAGCGAACGGG